GGUUUAUCUGCACGGCCCUUGGGAGCCAUGCUACCUGCAUGCCGACAUGGUUACUAUAGAGAUAAUCUGUGCACUAUGUAAGGCCUCAUCAAUAGGAAUCUGAUGACCAAUAAGAUGAGGCAGUAUUAAAAGGUGGGAUAUUCAGCAGAGAGAGAGAGAGAAACUCUCGGAGACAGGCUCAAGGUUUUGCCAUCUGGACUUGGAGGAAGUUGGAUGUAUGAAACUGAGGAGAGAAGUCUCCAGAUCAGCGCCAGAGGAGCAUCGCUGCUGGCAUCUGCUGUCUCCGUGGUGACUCAGGAGGACUCUGGGUAACCCCACACAGUCAGGAUCCAUCCGCACCUGCAACCUGAGACUCGGAGAGUAGGCCAGUGCUCACCUCGCUCUUUCCUUUAGGUCUCCCACCCCUGUCGGCUUCCAUUACCUCCCUGGAUGCUGAAACCCGGGAACUUCCAGUGGGGCUCCACAAUUUUGCCAAAAGUCCUUGUAAAUAAAGUCUAGUUCUAUAAAGCUACAUUUUUCCAGUCUUGCAUAAUAGUGUCACUCUGGACCAAAAAAAUCGAUAUUUUUUUUUGACUCUUAAAUUACAUUAAAUUAUCCAGAAAGGUUUACUUUGCUGUGGUCAAACUGAAAGCAC
Rattus norvegicus (Norway rat) is the source of this 634-nucleotide long non-coding RNA. Ensembl lists it as uncharacterized. The record is from Ensembl. Lineage: Eukaryota; Metazoa; Chordata; Mammalia; Rodentia; Muridae.